RNAcentral lists this small RNA (409 nucleotides) under Pan troglodytes (chimpanzee). Its description in RNAcentral is "sense intronic". Lineage: Eukaryota; Metazoa; Chordata; Mammalia; Primates; Hominidae. The record is from RNAcentral.
UCUGGGGUGCCGUGCCUGGAAGGCAGGAGGUUGGCUGAAGAAGACAUCUCUUACAAACAUUUAGGAAGUGAGAUGGGGAGGUUCCUUCCUGAUUUAGAAUUAAUUGAAGGUUCCUCCCGCCAUUUGAAUUGGAUGAGAAGAACGGUCUUUGUUUUCAUGGCUGAGACAUAAGAGAACAAGCUUGUAGUUUCAUGCUUGGGCAUUAGAUGCAUUUUUGGAAAGCAGUGAUCAUGUCCACUCCACACUCAUUCAUAAAAGGCAAUGUGCUGUCCUCCAAAGAAGACUGGACUGUGAGACAGGAGAUGAGAGAAUAUCUAAUAUUUUUCUGUGUUUAUUCUCUGCUAUUCAGUGUUAAAUUACUCCUUACAGCACAGUGGGGUCUCACUCUGUCACCCAGCCUGGAAUACAG